UACGAAGGUCCCAAGCGUUAUCCGGAUUUAUUGGGUUUAAAGGGUGCGCAGGCGGAUAUGUAAGUCAGUGGUGAAAUCUCCGGGCUUAACCCGGAAACUGCCGUUGAUACUAUAUAUCUUGAAUGCUGUGGAGGUAAGCAGAAUAUGUCAUGUAGCGGUGAAAUGCUUAGAGAUGACAUAGAAUACCUAUUGCGAAGGCAGCUUACUACGCAGAUAUUGACGCUCAUGCACGAAAGCGUGGGGAUCAAACAGG
Molecule: ribosomal RNA, 253 nt
Filed under: uncultured bacterium
Lineage: Bacteria
Description: partial 16S ribosomal RNA
Rfam family: Bacterial small subunit ribosomal RNA
Source: RNAcentral